ACUGCUCAGUAACACGUAGUCAACAUGCCCAGGGGACGUGGAUAACCUCGGGAAACUGAGGAUAAACCACGAUAAGUCACUACCUCUGGAAUGGGUAAUGACUCAAAUCUACAUGGCCCCUGGAUUGGACUGCGGCCGAUCAGGCUGUUGGUGAGGUAAUGGCCCACCAAACCUGUAACCGGUACGGGCUCUGAGAGGAGGAGCCCGGAGAUGGGCACUGAGACAAGGGCCCAGGCCCUAUGGGGCGCAGCAGGCGCGAAACCUCUGCAAUAGGCGAAAGCCUGACAGGGUUACUCUGAGUGAUUUCCGUUAAGGAGAUCUUUUGGCACCUCUAAAAAUGGUGCAGAAUAAGGGGUGGGCAAGUCUGGUGUCAGCCGCCGCGGUAAUACCAGCACCCCGAGUGGUCGGGACGUUUAUUGGGCCUAAAGCAUCCGUAGCCGGUUCUACAAGUCUUCCGUUAAAUCCACCUGCUUAACAGAUGGGCUGCGGAAGAUACUAUAGAGCUAGGAGGCGGGAGAGGCAAGCGGUACUCGAUGGGUAGGGGUAAAAUCCGUUGAUCCAUUGAAGACCACCAGUGGCGAAGGCGGCUUGCCAGAACGCGCUCGACGGUGAGGGAUGAAAGCUGGGGGAGCAAACCGGAUUAGAUACCCGGGUAGUCCCAGCUGUAAACGAUGCAGACUCGGUGAUGAGUUGGCUAUAUGCCAACUCAGUGCCGCAGGGAAGCCGUUAAGUUUGCCGCCUGGGGAGUACGGUCGCAAGACUGAAACUUAAAGGAAUUGGCGGGGGAG
Molecule: ribosomal RNA, 788 nt
Filed under: uncultured archaeon
Lineage: Archaea
Description: bacterial SSU rRNA
Rfam family: Archaeal small subunit ribosomal RNA
Source: RNAcentral